Pelobates cultripes (western spadefoot toad) is the source of this 362-nucleotide non-coding RNA. NCBI's taxonomy places the organism in Eukaryota, Metazoa, Chordata, Amphibia, Anura, Pelobatidae. The record is from the annotation of a GenBank genome assembly.
AAAACAAGCAGCAUAUCACCAUACACGUCCUACGCGUUUCGUGCUAAAAUUGGACUUCCUCAGGGACUUGGUGUAAUAAAGUGCAAUCAGAAAUAGCAGCAAUAAUAACAAUAUCCCCCCCAAUAGUCCUUUAUAUACACCCCCAUUUGAUGUUUGAAAUCUUUCAGCUGGUGUUCAAUUUUCAUUUCGGCGGUGUGGAGUCGAGUGACGUCAUCGCGUACACCGCGUGCGUUCCACCUUGCGUUCCACAGACCCGGAAGUGGGUCGCGAUCGUCUGUCUCUUUCUCCUAUUCUAAUGCAUUGACUUAAAGCAUAUACAGACAGGUGGAUAAAGCGAAAGGGGGAGGGACAGAUAAUUAAAA